GAAUGGAUGGCAUGCCUUUCAUCCUGAGGCUCUUAAAGGCCUGAAUCCUCCCAGGUUUUCUAUUUUAGAACCUGCUGGGGCGACAAGAGCCUGGGAGGCAGGGGCAGAGCGAUGGGACGACGUCCGAAGUAGAGACCCUCUGGUCUACAAACAAGAUGAGGACACUGAGGCGGGCAGAAGUGAAGUGACCUGCCCAGGGUCCUACAGCCAGUAAGUGCAUGCGGCUGCAUUUGAACCCAGGAUUUCCUGACCCCAG
This 256-nucleotide long non-coding RNA is filed under the name Phascolarctos cinereus (koala). Its description in RNAcentral is "lncRNA (ENSPCIG00000033381.1)". Lineage: Eukaryota; Metazoa; Chordata; Mammalia; Diprotodontia; Phascolarctidae. The record is from RNAcentral.